RNAcentral lists this transfer RNA (64 nucleotides) under Plectrocnemia tortosa. Its description in RNAcentral is "tRNA-Tyr". The record is from RNAcentral. Lineage: Eukaryota; Metazoa; Arthropoda; Insecta; Trichoptera; Polycentropodidae.
AGUAAUAUGGCUGAUGAUAAGCGAUAAAUUGUAAAUUUAUUUAAAAAUUAAAAUUUUAUUACUA